Molecule: ribosomal RNA, 688 nt
Filed under: uncultured Pseudomonadaceae bacterium
Lineage: Bacteria; Pseudomonadati; Pseudomonadota; Gammaproteobacteria; Pseudomonadales; Pseudomonadaceae
Description: SSU rRNA
Rfam family: Bacterial small subunit ribosomal RNA
Source: RNAcentral
UCAGCGGCGGACGGGUGAGUAAUGCCUAGGAAUCUGCCUGGUAGUGGGGGAUAACGUCCGGAAACGGGCGCUAAUACCGCAUACGUCCUGAGGGAGAAAGUGGGGGAUCUUCGGACCUCACGCUAUCAGAUGAGCCUAGGUCGGAUUAGCUAGUUGGUGGGGUAAAGGCCUACCAAGGCGACGAUCCGUAACUGGUCUGAGAGGAUGAUCAGUCACACUGGAACUGAGACACGGUCCAGACUCCUACGGGAGGCAGCAGUGGGGAAUAUUGGACAAUGGGCGAAAGCCUGAUCCAGCCAUGCCGCGUGUGUGAAGAAGGUCUUCAGAUUGUAAAGCACUUUAAGUUGGGAGGAAGGGCAGUAAGUUAAUACCUUGCUGUUUUGACGUUACCAACAGAAUAAGCACCGGCUAACUUCGUGCCAGCAGCCGCGGUAAUACGAAGGGUGCAAGCGUUAAUCGGAAUUACUGGGCGUAAAGCGCGCGUAGGUGGUUCAGCAAGUUGGAUGUGAAAUCCCCGGGCUCAACCUGGGAACUGCAUCCAAAACUACUGAGCUAGAGUACGGUAGAGGGUGGUGGAAUUUCCUGUGUAGCGGUGAAAUGCGUAGAUAUAGGAAGGAACACCAGUGGCGAAGGCGACCACCUGGACUGAUACUGACACUGAGGUGCGAAAGCGUGGGGAGCAAACAGG